AAGAUACUCCCUCCGUUCCAAAUUACUCGUCGCAGAAGUGGAUGUCUCUAGAACUAAAACGCAUCUAGAUACAUCCAUUUCUGCGAUGAGUAAUUCGGAACGGACGGAGUAUAAG
This is a non-coding RNA of Triticum urartu, 115 nucleotides long. NCBI's taxonomy places the organism in Eukaryota, Viridiplantae, Streptophyta, Magnoliopsida, Poales, Poaceae. The record is from Rfam.